AGCCCAAAGAACAAUGGGCCUUUUAUUGUGCAUUGUGCAUUGUGAUGUAUCUCACCAUCAGUCUCCUUCAUUGGAGACACCAAUCUGCAAAGGAAGAGAUCAAUAUAAGCUGCGGAAUCUCAUGAGUCUGUUGAAAAUUCCAUACUUUCAGGGAGAAUUCCAUAUCAUAGCCCAUGUGAGGUGGUAAGGUCAGAAGCCACCCUUCCUCUGCAGCCCAAAGAUCAAUGGGCCUUUUUUGUGCAUUGUGAUGUAUCUCACCAUCAAUCUCCCUCAUUAUCUUGGACACCAAUCUGCAAAGGAAGAGAUCAAUAUAAGCUGUGGAAUCUCAUGAAUGAGUCUGUUGAAGAUUCCAUAUUUUCAGAGAUAAUUCCAGAUCAUAGCACAGGUGAGGUCAAAAGCCAUCUCAAGACACAGCUUUCUGAAUUCAGAGAGCAUCUCCAAAUGCCUACAUCAUGCACAAAACAAAAGGAACAACUGAGAGGUGCCUUCAUUAUCACACAAGUCAAACAAUGUUGAUUCCUAUUUAACAACUACUCACCAAUUCCUUGCUUUCUUGAUGCAUGGUCCUCUCCAGACGGGGUUCUCCAUGUCCUCUUUAUAGAAGAAACACCCGCACGUAUGAAUAGGCAGGUGACCAAAAGUCAAUGGUAUCAGAUGCCAAUUUACCUCAGAAGGAACCAGAGGUCCAAAGAUUUUCCUCACUAGGUAAUACAGAAGCUGCCCACCCCGAAUAUAAGAGCCUGGCUACAGCCCCAGAGUCAUUGCUUCCUUCCUCCACUUCUACAUGACCUGGAGCUUGGACCUAAAAAGCACGGGCAUCCUCUGCGACAUCUCCCAGCUGAUGGUGCCUGUUGGGAGGCAUGGUCACAAAUGGAAGAGGUUGAGCUCAUACAGUCUUGCUCUAUUGAGUCACUCCACUUCAGUGUCCUGGGCCAUGGUUUCUGAGCUGAGGAUUCCUAGCCAAAGACAGAGUCCCAACAGUAAUCCAGCAUAUACGUACCUUGCUGUAAGGUCCAUUAAACUCAGUGGACAUUACCUGUGUGGGGUUGGACAAUCACUUGAGACCCCAAGGGCAACUGAGCCAGGAGGAAGGACGGUGGGCCUUUUUAUAAUGGCUUAAACUAUGACCCAAGUGGAUGUGGACCAUUGUGAGGUGGGGGGGGGAGGGUGACAUCAUUGGCUGCCUUCCUCAUGAGGCUGAGAAAUAUCAGGACUGAACCAUUUUUUGGCAACUAUAUAUGGUCAAAAGGUGGGAAAGCCAAGCAGAUUGGGAUAAUUCAAAGUU
This 1285-nucleotide long non-coding RNA is filed under the name Pogona vitticeps (central bearded dragon). RNAcentral describes it as "lncRNA (ENSPVIG00000013595.1)". The record is from RNAcentral. Lineage: Eukaryota; Metazoa; Chordata; Lepidosauria; Squamata; Agamidae.